AUUGAACGCUGGCGGCAUGCCUAACACAUGCAAGUCGAGCGAGCGGCGGACGGGUGAGUAAUGUCUGGGAAACUGCCUGAUGGAGGGGGAUAAAUACUGGAAACGGUAGCUAAUACCGCAUACCAUCAGAUGUGCCCAGAUGGGAUUAGCUAGUUGGUGGGGUAACGGCUCACCUAGGCGACGAUCCCUAGCUGGUCUGAGAGGUUGACCCGCCGCACGGGAACGGAGACACGUUCCAGACUCCGACGGGAGGCAGCAGUGGGGAAUAGUGGACAACGGGGGCAAGCCUGAGGCAGCCAGGCCGCGUGUGUGAAGAAGGCCUUCGGGUUGUAAAGCACUUUCAGCGGGGAGGCGUUACCCGCAGAAGAAGCACCGGCUAACUCCGUGCCAGCAGCCGCGGUAAUUC
Molecule: ribosomal RNA, 406 nt
Filed under: uncultured bacterium
Lineage: Bacteria
Description: partial 16S ribosomal RNA
Rfam family: Bacterial small subunit ribosomal RNA
Source: RNAcentral